This 267-nucleotide ribosomal RNA is filed under the name uncultured bacterium. RNAcentral's name for it is "partial 16S ribosomal RNA". It matches the Rfam family "Bacterial small subunit ribosomal RNA", at positions 524 to 787 of the family's 1533-position model. The record is from RNAcentral.
UACGUAGGGUGCAAGCGUUAAUCGGAAUUACUGGGCGUAAAGCGUGCGCAGGCGGUUAUGUAAGACAGAUGUGAAAUGCCCGGGCUUAACCUGGGAACUGCAUUUGUGACUGCAUGGCUAGAGUUUGGCAGAGGGGGGGUAGAAUUCCACGUGUAGCAGUGAAAUGCGUAGAUAUGUGGAGGAACACCGAUGGCGAAGGCAGCCCCCCUGGGUCAAGACUGACGCUCAUGCACGAAAGCGUGGGGAGCAAACGAGGAUUAGAGUACC